AUUGAACGCUGGCGGCAUGCCUUACACAUGCAAGUCGAACGGCAGCGCGGACUUCGGUCUGGCGGCGAGUGGCGAACGGGUGAGUAAUACAUCGGAACGUACCCUGUUGUGGGGGAUAACUAGUCGAAAGAUUAGCUAAUACCGCAUACGACCUGAGGGUGAAAGUGGGGGACCGCAAGGCCUCACGCAGCAGGAGCGGCCGAUGUCUGAUUAGCUAGUUGGUGGGGUAAAGGCCCACCAAGGCGACGAUCAGUAGCUGGUCUGAGAGGACGAUCAGCCACACUGGGACUGGGACACGGCCCAGACUCGUACGGGAGGCAGCAGUGGGGAAUUUUGGACAAUGGGGGCAACCCUGACCCAGCAAUGCCGCGUGUGUGAAGAAGGCCUUCGGGUUGUAAAGCACUUUUGUCCGGAAAGAAAUCGCGCUGGUUAAUACCUGGCGUGGAUGACGGUACCGGAAGAAUAAGCACCGGCUAACUACGUGCCAGCAGCCGCGGUAA
Molecule: ribosomal RNA, 500 nt
Filed under: uncultured bacterium
Lineage: Bacteria
Description: partial 16S ribosomal RNA
Rfam family: Bacterial small subunit ribosomal RNA
Source: RNAcentral